RNAcentral lists this ribosomal RNA (429 nucleotides) under Chloroflexota bacterium. RNAcentral's name for it is "Chloroflexi bacterium partial 16S ribosomal RNA". It matches the Rfam family "Bacterial small subunit ribosomal RNA", at positions 355 to 776 of the family's 1533-position model. Lineage: Bacteria; Bacillati; Chloroflexota. The record is from RNAcentral.
UGGGGAAUAUUGCACAAUGGGCGCAAGCCUGAUGCAGCCAUGCCGCGUGUGUGAAGAAGGCCUUCGGGUUGUAAAGCACUUUCAGCGGGGAGGAAGGCGUUAAGGUUAAUAACCUUGGCGAUUGACGUUACCCGCAGAAGAAGCACCGGCUAACUCCGUGCCAGCAGCCGCGGUAAUACGGAGGGUGCAAGCGUUAAUCGGAAUUACUGGGCGUAAAGCGCACGCAGGCGGUCUGUCAAGUCGGAUGUGAAAUCCCCGGGCUCAACCUGGGAACUGCAUUCGAAACUGGCAGGCUAGAGUCUUGUAGAGGGGGGUAGAAUUCCAGGUGUAGCGGUGAAAUGCGUAGAGAUCUGGAGGAAUACCGGUGGCGAAGGCGGCCCCCUGGACAAAGACUGACGCUCAGGUGCGAAAACGUGGGGAGCAAACAGG